UUUGCUCCGGGAAAAGUCCAGAUUUCGAUUUAGAUAAAGACGUCAUUGUGUCCGCCUGUAAGACGUAUUUUUAGACGGUACGCAGGAGCUUCAGGUUCAGCCGGAACACUCAUUGCGGGCGGAAGCUGCGAAGAAUUCAGCGCGGAGCCGAGCGAGAAGAAAGAGGAUGCUGGAAUCGAGACAAACUGUGCUGGCUGAUGACGAGGUGGAACUCUGGAAAUCCGCCACCGUAGAGUUCAUGUCGGACGGAGAGGAUGGCGUUGUUGGCGGGGUCUCGGGGUGGAUUGUACGGUCACCGCCAUUGCGUAGACGCCUCUAACCGACUCAGAAGAGCCACACACACUAGGCGCCAGUGACAGUCUACAACCCCGAGGGGGCAAACGGACAGUUUACUGAGCUGUAGUUUUUUA
Gasterosteus aculeatus aculeatus (three-spined stickleback) is the source of this 410-nucleotide long non-coding RNA. Lineage: Eukaryota; Metazoa; Chordata; Actinopteri; Perciformes; Gasterosteidae. The record is from Ensembl.